CCCGCCUGCCCUGUGACUAUAUGUUUAACGGCCGCGGUAUUUUGACCGUGCGAAGGUAGCGCAAUCACUUGUCUUUUAAAUAGAGACCUGUAUGAAUGGCACAACGAGGGCUUAACUGUCUCCUUAUCCAAGUCAAUGAAAUUGAUCUUCCCGUGCAGAAGCGGGUAUAACAACAUAAGACGAGAAGACCCUAUGGAGCUUUAAAUGGGUGGGUAACCUACGUUAAGAAAACUUAACUAAAAGAAUAAACUAAGUAAACCUUACCCACAUAUUUUUGGUUGGGGCGACCGCGGGGUAAAACCCAACCCCCGCGAGGAACGAGGUAAUCCUUAAAACCACGAGCAUCAGCUCUAAGUAUCAAAACAUUUGACCUUCAGACCCGGCAAAGCCGAUCAACGAACCGAGUUACCCUAGGGAUAACAGCGCAAUCCUCUUUCAGAGUCCCUAUCGACAAGAGGGUUUACGACCUCGAUGUUGGAUCAGGACACCCCAAUGGUGCAGCCGCUAUUAACGGUUCG
RNAcentral lists this ribosomal RNA (518 nucleotides) under Solegnathus lettiensis. RNAcentral describes it as "partial 16S ribosomal RNA". It matches the Rfam family "Bacterial large subunit ribosomal RNA", at positions 1854 to 2575 of the family's 2925-position model. Lineage: Eukaryota; Metazoa; Chordata; Actinopteri; Syngnathiformes; Syngnathidae. The record is from RNAcentral.